GUGUCUUUAGUCUAAUUGGAUAAGACACAUGAUUCCUAAUCAUGAGAUGACAGUUCAAUUCUGUCAGGACACA
Molecule: transfer RNA, 73 nt
Filed under: Lactobacillus phage Lenus
Lineage: Duplodnaviria; Heunggongvirae; Uroviricota; Caudoviricetes
Rfam family: tRNA
About the family: Transfer RNA (tRNA) molecules are approximately 80 nucleotides in length.
Source: Rfam by way of RNAcentral